Long non-coding RNA from Octopus bimaculoides (California two-spot octopus), 2369 nucleotides. The record is from RefSeq and is a predicted model, not a curated record. Lineage: Eukaryota; Metazoa; Mollusca; Cephalopoda; Octopoda; Octopodidae.
UUAAAGCUAGAUGCUAAUAGCCUUCUCUCAACUAACUGAUUAAUGACGGCCUAUAUUUUUAAACCAGGUUGCUUAAGGCAAGCUGCAUUAAAUAUGAAGCUCAUGAAUACAAAUAUUGUGCCAGUCACAAUAUUUUAAGUCGAAUGCAUUAUCACCAAUCCAACUACUCUCUUAUGUUCAGAUGACACCAUAGGAAUACAUACAUUUGUUGAAAAUGUAUUCAUACAUUUAUACUAUAUUACAUGCUGAUAGCCUGAGCAAGCUUAUACAUAUACCAGCGUGUGUUUUCAAUAGAAUAUGAUCCAUGAGCAGUCUUGAGCAGUUUGGUAUCAAAAGCGUUAAAUGUUGUUCACCGAAACAUUCAAGAACAAAACCAGCAUAUGCUGUACAAUAGAAUUAUUCUGAAGAAGAAGAAAGAAGAAAAAUAGCAAAGUUGUUUCUAUUCACACACCAAGAAGUAGAGAGGAAAAGAAAUACAUUAUGGAAAAGCAUUCUAAAAAUUCACCAAAUAUUGGCUUUGCCAAGCGAUCAAAUAGUGAAGUUAUGUAGUUUCAUAGAAAUAAAUUAAUAGAUAUAGAGAAGAAAAAGAAAAAAAAUGAUUCCAUUUCUUAAAAAGAAGUUACACAUACAUAAACAUAUGUAUGUAUGUAUGUAUAUUUAUGUGUGUGUAUAUACAUACAUACAUAUAUACACACACACAUAUAUAUAUAUAUAUAUAUAUAUAUAUGGAGACAAAAGAAGAAAAGAAACAAUUGAAAUACAGAAAUGCUAUAGGAAUAAAGAAACAUUAAGUUGUCUACUUUCUGUCAACAACCACUUAACAGUGAAACAGGGUAACUACAUGUCAAAACUACUAGAUAUAAAUCCUUUUAAUAGAAAUAAUCUUUUGCUAAGAUUCUUCAAACCUUUCUAUUCCAGCCCUUAAAUAUAUUGAAAAGGAGAGAAAAGACAGAUGCAGUAAAGAUGAAUACAAAUGUACAAAAUAAGAAGUUAUAUGACUUAUGGAAAGGAGACAAGUGUUAGAUAAGGCAGGAAAAGCAAGGCCAACAAUCAUUAUACUCAUUCGGUGAAUAAAACGAUAGAAGCAUGGAGUAAAUAUAUUAUAAAUGGGAAGUAUAUUGUCAUAUUAUUUAUAUUAUAAAGUGUGUGGUAUGUCAGCUGUUAAAUGAGCAAUAGUAUAAUCCCACAUGCAUGGAAUUAUGAUUCCUAUCAUAUGGCAGUAAGUGCCUGAUUAUUUUCUGUGGAAUCAAAUGACAGAAACUUUACAUAGAGAGAACAAUCUCGGCAACAACACAACUACUAUCAGGCUGUCCAUAUCAUAAGGUUAUGAGAAAGAGUAAUGUGAUUAGUUUAUAUAAGUGAAUUUUUGAAACAAAUAUUUUCUUGUUAUUACCAUCAGAAUAAAAUAAGAAUAAAGAUUAUGAAGUGAAGAUGAAAUUACCAUGACCCAAUUUCAUGGUAAUUGGGAAGCUAUGAAUAAUUCUGGCAAACAAAAUAGUGAGAAUUGGAAAUUGAUUCAUAAAAUCACCAGUGAUAGAGAUGACACUAUAUAAGUUUAUGGAGACAAUAACAUUUACUUUUUAAUAUGUAAGGUCAUAUUGCACAAAAGGGAGAGAAAAAAUGAACUGAGUAUGGCAGAUCAUGAAAGGCAUCAGCCAAAAUAUGCAGAAGAGAAAACUUCAGUUGAAUGGCCAUAACAAACACCGAACAUAAAAGUACCAUCUUUUGGCAAUGAAAGAUGUGGAGAAAAGCCAAGAUAUAGAGAAGUGGUAAGACUGAUCUCAGAAUGUUAGGCCCUGGAAGAUCAGGAGAAGUAAACUUCUGCUAUACUGCUGACCCAUCUGGCUUAAUUCAGCAUGAACAUGCAAAUGUGCAAAAUGUGUCAAACCAAACAAUUUAUCUAAAACAACCUCUAACUCAUGUGAUACAUCAUAGAGAGGUUGCUGUGUGUGGAGCCCUGAUGAGUUUAUCCCAAGUGAAAGUUUCUGAUAUGGUCAAACACCAAUACUCAGCCGUUGUCUUCACAGAAGCCAUUUUUGUUCCCAUCUUUUGGGGCUGUAUAAUUGCAAUAUACAGCAACAUCCAGUCAGUGGUUAAGGUGAUUGUGCACCUAAGUGGUCUUACAGAGUCUCUUUCCACAAUACUUAACACCCCAGUACCAAUCUCAAAAUCCUCGCUCAUGUCAAUUCCAGUUUCUCCAACAUAUUUCUAAAUACUACGAUAUAAAAAGAAAGAAUGCUGUAGAGAUUUUUCAGAUGAUAGAAAGGAUUUUGUAUCUUACUUACAGAAUUAACUGGAAAACACACAGCAAAGGUGUUACAAGAGAAAACUAAGAGUGCUCCAAUUAAUUUAAGUUAAAGUGGAAUGAA